This 131-nucleotide small RNA is filed under the name Salmonella enterica subsp. enterica serovar Infantis. RNAcentral's name for it is "RtT sRNA". It matches the Rfam family "RtT RNA". From Rfam's summary of the family: This family represents a bacterial cis-regulatory element known as RtT RNA. The exact function of RtT is unknown although it is thought that it may be involved in changing the cellular response in relation to amino acid starvation. The record is from RNAcentral. RNAcentral also lists the same sequence under 2 other names. Lineage: Bacteria; Pseudomonadati; Pseudomonadota; Gammaproteobacteria; Enterobacterales; Enterobacteriaceae.
UAUCUCUCUGUACGGGAAGGAUGAGAAGCUUCGACUAAGGUUCGAUUCGAGCGAAAGCGAGAAAGCGUUGCCGCAGGCAACGACCCGAAGGGCGAAACGCGCAGCGCUGAGUCAUCCUUCCCCCACCACCA